Paramuricea clavata is the source of this 242-nucleotide non-coding RNA. NCBI's taxonomy places the organism in Eukaryota, Metazoa, Cnidaria, Anthozoa, Malacalcyonacea, Plexauridae. The record is from the annotation of a GenBank genome assembly.
CUUUGUAACUGAAAACGAGGUCUACAGAGCAUUAUCAUUGCUCCAAGUAAAUAAAUCAGUCGGUCCUGAUUACAUCCCGAAUAGAGUCCUGAAGGAAUUCGCGCAUGAGUUGGCACCUAUCAUCAAAGAUAUUUAUAACCAAUCAAUGAAAGAGGGAUAUAUUCCUGAACUCCUCAAAUCAUCAAUUGUUAUUCCAGUACCGAAGAUCAACUCCCCUAGAAUCAUAGAAAAUGACCUCCGAC